RNAcentral lists this transfer RNA (69 nucleotides) under Ictidomys tridecemlineatus (thirteen-lined ground squirrel). Its description in RNAcentral is "Spermophilus tridecemlineatus (thirteen-lined ground squirrel) tRNA". It matches the Rfam family "tRNA". Rfam says of the family: Transfer RNA (tRNA) molecules are approximately 80 nucleotides in length. The record is from Rfam by way of RNAcentral. Lineage: Eukaryota; Metazoa; Chordata; Mammalia; Rodentia; Sciuridae.
GGGGCUGUAGCUCAGUGGUAGAGCACCCGCCUUGCAAGUGUGGGGCACUGGGUUCAAUCCUCCGCACCA